Molecule: long non-coding RNA, 549 nt
Organism: Cyanistes caeruleus (blue tit)
Lineage: Eukaryota; Metazoa; Chordata; Aves; Passeriformes; Paridae
Source: RefSeq, a predicted model, not a curated record
GCCCUGACUCCAUUUGUCUCCCAGACAUGCCUAGAGGUGGAUAAGGAGAUGGUGUUUCUGAAAUGAAGUCUCUGCCCUCCUGAGGUUACCUCCCUGUUGAUUGCCAAGGGAGAAAGUACAGACAAUGUUAUUUACUUUAUUCUAAAUGGCUGUAGUCAGCUAUCUGGAAGAUUGCUCUUCAUCCUGUUAUACUGGGCAGUGCAGCAGAGUGAGAGGGGAGCAGAGACAGCACACAACUGGCCUGAGAAGUGCUCCACAUUUUUGUGGCUGUGUGACCCUCCCCUGCUCUCACUCAGACCUGCGGCAGCUGGAGAGACUGGACGUGGUGUUCUGAUGCAGCUGGAGAGGCAGCUGCGAUGAAAAUGAGAACUUCUGAAAAAGAUUUUGGAUUUCUCUAAAUCCAAAAGGACACCCAGUAUGUUUUCUGAGCUCAUGGAUGUUUUGCAAGAGUUAUGAGUGAUGGCAGAGACAUAUUUUGCAGUCAAGUCUUCUGGAAGCCAGUUGGGAGUUUUGGUUGAGUAAGAAUUUGCAUUAAAGUUCUGGAUCUGA